This is a long non-coding RNA of Odocoileus virginianus texanus, 1396 nucleotides long. RefSeq lists it as uncharacterized. The record is from RefSeq and is a predicted model, not a curated record. NCBI's taxonomy places the organism in Eukaryota, Metazoa, Chordata, Mammalia, Artiodactyla, Cervidae.
AGAGAGCGCGGUGUGGCCGCUUGCCUGGCGCGGGGGCUAUAGCCGCAGGGAGGCUGGGCUCCGGAUCAGGAGGAGUUCAUGUCUUAAAAUAAACAACCAGGGACAGUUCUUUCCCGAGGCAAAGCAUCCACCCAGCCCCCCUUCCCCCGAAGGCAGUUGGCUUUGAAUUCUAGGAGAAGUGGUUUCCACCAGCGGCCCGAGACCUGCACCUCGAGUUCGGUCCGGAGCCCGGGGCUCGAGGGCCACACACCCAGCAGUGGAAAUGCCUUCGGUUAACCGAGAAGGUUGACGUUGAAUCCAACUGAGCGGGAAAAUCUGCCGCAUCCGCGCGCUGCAACUGCGAGCACCCGCGAGAGGCGUGCAGGUUGCGCCGCGCUGAGAGGUACUGCUUUAACUCCUUGCAGGCCCCAAGAACCGUCCAACCAUCCAGGUUCACGGCCUGCUUGUGUCACCGGCGCAUAAAUCACUGUCAGCCGGACAGAGCAGGCAGAGAGAAAGCGCGUUAGUCCUGGCCACGCGGGCUCUAGGCAGAUUAACUGUCCCGGCUCAGAGCGAAUUGCCCGCUAAUUUUCCCACCCCGAUCUCCUGGGCUUCAGACGCGAGCUUGCACUUUCUCGGACGCGCAGAGGGAGCCAGGGAGAUGUUUCUAGCCACCUACCGCCUCUUCUCGCCAGGGCCUGAUUACUGACCUGCAGUCAGAGAGACCUACUGUAGAAGAGAGAGAAACCCCAACCUUCAACUGUCAACUGUUUUCCAAACACGAGAUUAAUGUUCCCCAGGACUCAGGGGACCCCUCGUCUCCAGGAACGGUCACGGAGCCCGCACCGCUCACACCAAGGCCCUUCCGCGGUUUUAUGAUUGGUUGCUGUGGUUGGAAUGUUUAUAGAUAAUAAACAACUAAUCCGCGUCUUGCCUAAUGAAUUGCCCCACCCGCGUACCAGUGGAACGGCUGUAACUAGCUCAAGGAUCUAGAGCCAGUGAGGGCCGGGACCGAAACCACCCAACAUAGCCGCAGCUCAGUAUGAAAGCUGAAUGAUCCAAGGCCAGCAGAAGCCUAUUUCGCAUUUUCGAGUUCCUCUGCUCUGGAGCCCCUAGACUCCACUCGGGCUUUGCUCCACCCGCUCCUCUCCCCACCGGUUUGAAGGAUGUAUUCCAAUGAACAGCUUUCUGAAAAGCCUGCGUCUGAAAAGUGGGGCGGCGAUGUGGAGCCUGGUCGCAGGCACCGGACCCGCACUCCGGAGACCGCGGCGCUGGGUCCGCAGCAGCUCUCAUUUGGCCGCACGGGGCCCUUCAGUCUUCCGGCGGCAGAUAGCAGUUUGAAUCGUCCUGACUCUGAAUCAGAUUCUGCACUCGAAGUUGCAAAAGGCUGGGUCUGCCAGGGCUCACGCCCUCGAGU